RNAcentral lists this non-coding RNA (66 nucleotides) under unclassified sequences. The record is from RNAcentral.
AUGCUAAUGCAGCCACAGAUUAGGCUAUGCUGUGCUGGUGCCAAGCCCAAACAAAUGCAGAGGCAG